AAGAAAUUGAUCCUGUAGAACAGAGAAGUAAAGGCUAUUGUCCAUUAACUCCAAGAGAAGUUGGACUAUUCCUUUCCGGUCUUGGAUUUCCAUCAAACACUCCUAUAUAUAUUGCUGCUGGAGAGAUAUAUGGGGGUGAUUCCCAUAUGUCUGAUCUGUUGUUGCGCUACCCCUUGUUAAUGAAUAAGGAAAAGUUGGCUUCUAUUGAGGAGCUUGAGCCAUUUGUCAAUCAUGCAUCUCAAUUGGCUGCCCUAGACUAUAUCGUGUCUGUUGAGAGUGACAUAUUCA
This 288-nucleotide unclassified non-coding RNA is filed under the name Hevea brasiliensis (rubber tree). Lineage: Eukaryota; Viridiplantae; Streptophyta; Magnoliopsida; Malpighiales; Euphorbiaceae. The record is from RNAcentral.